GACGUAGGAGGCGAGCGUUGUCCGGAGUUACUGGGCGUAAAGCGCGCGCAGGCGGUCGCGCAGGUCAUCUGUGAAAGCACCCGGCUCAACCGGGCUGUGGCGGGUGAAACCGCGCGACUUGAGGGUGGGAGAGGUCGGUGGAAUUCCCGGUGUAGUGGUGAAAUGCGUAGAGAUCGGGAGGAACACCCGUAGCGAAGGCGGCCGACUGGACCAUCCCUGACGCUGAGGCGCGAAGGCCAGGGGAGCGAACGGGAUUAGAAACCCCCGUAGUCC
This 273-nucleotide ribosomal RNA is filed under the name uncultured bacterium. RNAcentral's name for it is "partial 16S ribosomal RNA". It matches the Rfam family "Bacterial small subunit ribosomal RNA", at positions 524 to 796 of the family's 1533-position model. The record is from RNAcentral.